GACGAACGCUGGCGGCGUGCCUAAUACAUGCAAGUCGAGCGGACAGGUCCGGCGCUUGCUGCGCGCACGUUAGGCGAACGGGUGAGUAACACGCGUGUAAACUGUCCCUAAAAGUGUGAUAACUCUUGGGAAAUGGGGCUCAUACCCGAUAGGAGCUACUGCUGCACAGUGGUGGUUGGUAAGAUUCGGUGGUGGGGGAUCGUCUAGCUGCUUACCAGCUGGUUUGGGAGGUAGUGGCUUACAAAGGCUACGACGGGUAGCCGGCCUGAGAGGGCUACCGGCCACAUGGGGACUGAGAGACGGACCAGAAUCCUACGGGACGCAGCAGUGGAGAAUAUUGCAGAAUGGGCGGAAGCCUGAUGCAGCAAUGCCGCGUGCGGGAUAAUGGCCUACGAGUUGUGAACCACUUUCGACGGUGACGAACCGUGCGUGACGGUAAUGGGUAAAGAAGCCACGGCUAACUACGUG
This 468-nucleotide ribosomal RNA is filed under the name uncultured bacterium. Its description in RNAcentral is "partial 16S ribosomal RNA". It matches the Rfam family "Bacterial small subunit ribosomal RNA", at positions 28 to 507 of the family's 1533-position model. The record is from RNAcentral.